Molecule: long non-coding RNA, 1507 nt
Organism: Folsomia candida
Lineage: Eukaryota; Metazoa; Arthropoda; Collembola; Entomobryomorpha; Isotomidae
Exons: 2
Source: RefSeq, a predicted model, not a curated record
AACUUUAAUUUGUGGGGCAUUUUGACAAUUGAUCGACAACUUUAUAGUGGAUUGAGGAUGCAUAUAAGAACUAGUUAUUACGAUUACGUAUACACAUACAUAUAUGCAAAAAAAACUAAAAAGUAAUAAAAACCUUGACAUGAUCAACACGUUGUUUUGGGCACACACAAAUUAUAAUACGAGAUGUACGUGUGAUGACAAAUCAAGCUGAGAUCUGUCCACUCGACGAACAUGUAUGUGUACUCAAAUUGCUGUAAUAUUUUUACAAUACGACUUCCAGAAAAAAGUUUGCUUGAUGAUAAAUCAUAAUAAUUAAAUCGUUCAAGAUUGUCAAUAAAGUCUAGAAUAGGAAUAACGUCUGGAAUAUGAUCCAAUACUCAACAUGACAUCUACAGAGUUUGUAAAAGCACAAAAUAUCUGUACAUCAAUGAGCUCACUCAAGUAUGUAUUGGCACACACAUUAAAAUCGAUAAUAAUCUGCGUCACAUUUAUUCCGUGAGAAAUUGUAGAUCAGCAUAAUUUCGUACCUUUGCAUAUUAUUCACUGCAGAAAUAACGGCAGAGAGUCAAUGCACGAAAUCUAAAUCUGGUUGAACUCCUACUGAUUCCAAAUGACGUCCAAUAUUUCUUGGAACCGGUUCUUUGAAGCCGUGUUACAGCUCACCUGGAGUUCUUGGCUUGUGUUUCUCAGGUUCUAAAGUGGAGCUUGGGAAAUCCACUUCUAAUCCAGUGGUCACGGUCACAGCAGACAUGACCAUUUUUGCAACAACUAGCAACAUGUCCUUCUCUCAAGUAUUCCGAAAACUUUUUUCCUCCCAAAAUUAUAACCCCAAUAGAAUUAUUAUGGGGAAAAUUGCACUUGGAUCGGAUGGAUCGGAUUUCCCGUCCUCCAAGAAAAUUAUUUUAGGCCACAGAUAAGUCCACUUCAGUCACUCAGCACAGGUAAAUGUCUACUGGCUGCUUCCUUUCUUUGGUAACACGUUGCAAACGGAUGGAGGAAAGACAGACAGUAAAGGAGAAGGGACUACGAUUUGAUAACUUCUGGCCUUAUCGCUACACAUGCUAGCCAAAUGUCUUACUUUAUGAGAAGUACAAGGUAAGGCACUAUGCAGACAAUAAUAACGACAUGCCACGGCAGACACAGUGGUCACAUGCAGUUAAUCCAAGCCGGCUAUAAAUCCAACAGGGUCUAAUCUGCUAAUAUAUGCACACAAUGCUGAAUCCUAUUGUUGAUCUGAUCUUCUUUCCUAAGUAGUAGACAAAGUUUAAUCAGAUGAAUGUCCUUUCGAGUAUAACAAUGCGUACAUGUAAUGUCUAUUUCUAUCAUAAUGCGUAUUAUACCUGUUCCCCAUCUAGGCUGACCCUCUUUCUCGUCCAGAUGAGUCCAAAGGCCAAAAUAUAACCUACAUUUUUUGCACAUCAAGUUCGAUUUGAGCCAAACUCGCCCCCUAAAGAUACUGACCAUUUAUAAUCAUUAUAGCAAAAUAUAAUACCUCGCGAGAUGAUCG